Molecule: ribosomal RNA, 253 nt
Filed under: uncultured bacterium
Lineage: Bacteria
Description: partial 16S ribosomal RNA
Rfam family: Bacterial small subunit ribosomal RNA
Source: RNAcentral
UACGGAGGGUGCAAGCGUUAUCCGGAUUCACUGGGUUUAAAGGGUGCGUAGGAGGGCAGGCAAGUCAGUGGUGAAAUCUCCAAGCUUAACUUGGAAACUGCCGUUGAUACUAUCUGUCUUGAAUAUUGUGGAGGUGAGCGGAAUAUGUCAUGUAGCGGUGAAAUGCUUAGAUAUGACAUAGAACACCAAUUGCGAAGGCAGCUCACUACUCAAUCAUUGACUCUGAGGCACGAAAGCGUGGGGAGCAAACAGG